AACGAACGCUGGCGGCAUGCCUAACACAUGCAAGUCGAACGAGACCUUCGGGUCUAGUGGCGCACGGGUGCGUAACGCGUGGGAACCUGCCCUUAGGUUCGGAAUAACUCCCCGAAAGGGGUGCUAAUACCGGAUAAUGUCUUCGGACCAAAGAUUUAUCGCCUUUGGAUGGGCCCGCGUUGGAUUAGCUAGUUGGUAGGGUAAAAGCCUACCAAGGCGACGAUCCAUAGCUGGUCUGAGAGGAUGAUCAGCCACACUGGGACUGAGACACGGCCCAGACUCCUACGGGAGGCAGCAGUGGGGAAUAUUGGACGAUGGGCGAAAGCGUGAUCCAGCAAUGCCGCGUGAGUGAUGAAGGCCUUAGGGUUGUAAAGCUCUUUUACCCGGGAUGAUAAUGACAGUACCGGGAGAAUAAGCUCCGGCUAACUCCGUG
Molecule: ribosomal RNA, 433 nt
Filed under: uncultured bacterium
Lineage: Bacteria
Description: partial 16S ribosomal RNA
Rfam family: Bacterial small subunit ribosomal RNA
Source: RNAcentral